Molecule: long non-coding RNA, 1546 nt
Organism: Gasterosteus aculeatus aculeatus (three-spined stickleback)
Lineage: Eukaryota; Metazoa; Chordata; Actinopteri; Perciformes; Gasterosteidae
Source: Ensembl
AACAAACAAACAAACACACAUCCGCACCGUUUGUGUGCUUAAAGUAUCGAUACAAUCGAUUAUGUAGCAUUUCAAUCGAUUUGUAAUUGAUUCUUGUCGUCCGAAGUGCCGAUUUGCGCAGCACAGAUCGAUUCAGUUGGCUCGCGAGAAUAUAAAUCGAUUAAUCGAUACACCCCUAGUAUCCGGCAAUUCUAAGUAACUGUGCAGCGAGAGACAAUUGUUUCAUACUAACUAUGCGGAGACUGCAAGGGCAAAUAGAUAACGGGAACACAUCCUGUGAAUGAGGCAUUAAGCAGACGGACAAGUAUAAUUCCAAAGAUGUGACAGAGACGGGGGCCAAAAAGGGACUUACAAAGAAAGCUGCACCGAUGGUUUGUUCUACAAGGAGAGCGUGUCUGCCAACUCCUGCAUGAAGGCACAGUGGUAAGUAGGCUUUCAAUCCAGUAAAAAGCUAUAAGGCCCCGUAAAAGAGACGAUAGCAGCCAAAGAUGGCGACUCGAUGCAUUCAUCAAACCUUUAUAAUCAGUCAGGCAUAAAGAGAGACGGUAAUGGGGAUAACGGGGAAAAAUGGCUCUUUUCCUCAAUGUGCCGGUGUGAACAUUUCGUUAGUUUUACCUGCUUUCGGGACGAGUUGGACGGAGCUUCGCACCACUAGAGUUUCAACAAGGUCGAAGGCUGGAAUAAAGCAUUUUUCAUACCAAAAUAUUUAAGGCGCUUGCCAGCCCGUUUGGCGACUCCAUCGCUUCGGCUGGACUCCUGCCGCGGGGAACACAAAGGGGCUCGCGAUCGCUUCGAGCGCCUUAAGCCUCACGUGUUCAUCGGCGGCGUCGAGUCGUACGCGCAGUAACGUGAGACAGAGACGACCGCCGGGAGGUCGAGCAGGGAUCCAACAUGAAGCCAAUUGGACAUUAAACAAUGUUAAAUCAGAGUGAGAACAACACAUGAAAUCUUUCCUUUAUUUAUUUUAAAGCGCUUUGAGGGGGGGGAUCUCUUGUGAGAGUUUAUGUUGUAUAAUCAGUACAAACAAUUGGCUUAUAAAAGGUUCUAACAAGUUGUUUUCAUAUUUUUGAUCCCUAUGUAUGAAACAUCUAAUCACUGCGGAUGCUGACAGAUCGAGAAAUAAUGAUACCAAACACCUUAGAUGUGUAGUAAGGUAAUAGAACAUUUAUUACCACCAGAAGAAACUCGAGACUCAAUUUGAAGAAAAGUGCCUGUGAGCAUCUGUGAAAUCACAAGCGAUAAGAAGGUAACCCGAUGAUAGGCGACAGGGAUAUGGAUGAUUAAAUAACCAAUAAUCAAUAUCGGUGUUUCACAACAACUCUGGAAUGAUGAAUAGAACCUUAAAUAGGAGAUGAAAGCGUCCUUCUUCAUUUGAGUGUCCAGACCAGCUGACUCACAGCCUGACGUGAAUCACUGUGAGGAGUGUGUUGACUCGCUGCUGCUCGCCGCUUCUGCACUUUUUCUAUUUUCCUUCAUUGUCGUCCUGCCGAACAAUGUUUGUGGGUUUGGCGGAUAAACAAUACGGAAUAAAACCGUCCAAAACCUG